RNAcentral lists this non-coding RNA (26 nucleotides) under Mus musculus (house mouse). The record is from RNAcentral. Lineage: Eukaryota; Metazoa; Chordata; Mammalia; Rodentia; Muridae.
UGGUUGUCCAGAUCGUUGUGGCCUUA